RNAcentral lists this non-coding RNA (26 nucleotides) under Mus musculus (house mouse). Lineage: Eukaryota; Metazoa; Chordata; Mammalia; Rodentia; Muridae. The record is from RNAcentral.
UAGAGAGGGGGAGUUUCUGGGGUGUA